GGGCGACUAGCUCAGGUGGUUAGAGCGCCGUCUUCACACGGCGGAGGUCCACAGUUCGAGCCUGUGGUCGCCCACCA
RNAcentral lists this transfer RNA (77 nucleotides) under Candidatus Hydrogenedentota bacterium. RNAcentral describes it as "tRNA-Val". It matches the Rfam family "tRNA". From Rfam's summary of the family: Transfer RNA (tRNA) molecules are approximately 80 nucleotides in length. Their secondary structure includes four short double-helical elements and three loops (D, anti-codon, and T loops). Lineage: Bacteria; Pseudomonadati; Candidatus Hydrogenedentota. The record is from RNAcentral.